RNAcentral lists this long non-coding RNA (572 nucleotides) under Vigna radiata. RNAcentral's name for it is "long non-coding RNA (VRAD_LNC014037)". Lineage: Eukaryota; Viridiplantae; Streptophyta; Magnoliopsida; Fabales; Fabaceae. The record is from RNAcentral.
AUUUGUAACAAAAAUCAAUGAAAACGAUGACUCAAAUUGCAACAACCAACACUGAUUUAGCUAUUUUUCUUUUCGAAAAUGUGUUUUUAACACCCUUAUUUGACACAAAUUUGACACCGGUCAGGUGUCAAAUUUCUAUUGGUUUUUUUCUUUUAAAUGGAAAUGGGUUUUUUAAAAUCUGACGAGAGUAGAAUAGGAAUUCUGAAGAUAUGAAAUUUCGUUUGGUGGUUCCUUUUUAUUCUCUUUCACUUUGUUUCUGAAGCUUCUUGUCUCCCAUCACUCUUUCCAUUCCCGGUUGCUUCAUCUCUCCAAUCCUUUGGUUUCUCUGUUGCACCGUUCGUCUCAUCUCAACCCAAAAAAAAGCUAUCUUUCGUAAGGUAAGCUCUAUUUCAUCUAUCCCCUUUUUGGGUGGCUUUGGCGUUGUGUGUGUGUGUUUUGUCAUUUCGUCCCCUUCUCGCAUUGUGUGGGUUCUCUUUCUGUAUCAUUUUGUCCCCUUCUCGCAUUGUUCUCUUUGGUGUUAUUUAUUCAUUUUGUGUUUUGUGAACCCUAAGCCACCAUUGAUUUUUUUGGUC